RNAcentral lists this ribosomal RNA (1099 nucleotides) under Vibrio parahaemolyticus. RNAcentral describes it as "bacterial SSU rRNA". It matches the Rfam family "Bacterial small subunit ribosomal RNA", at positions 1 to 1079 of the family's 1533-position model. The record is from RNAcentral. Lineage: Bacteria; Pseudomonadati; Pseudomonadota; Gammaproteobacteria; Vibrionales; Vibrionaceae.
AAAUUGAAGAGUUUGAUCAUGGCUCAGAUUGAACGCUGGCGGCAGGCCUAACACAUGCAAGUCGAGCGGAAACGAGUUAUCAGAACCUUCGGGGGACGAUAACGGCGUCGAGCGGCGGACGGGUGAGUAAUGCCUAGGAAAUUGCCCUGAUGUGGGGGAUAACCAUUGGAAACGAUGGCUAAUACCGCAUGAUGCCUACGGGCCAAAGAGGGGGACCUUCGGGCCUCUCGCGUCAGGAUAUGCCUAGGUGGGAUUAGCUAGUUGGUGAGGUAAGGGCUCACCAAGGCGACGAUCCCUAGCUGGUCUGAGAGGAUGAUCAGCCACACUGGAACUGAGACACGGUCCAGACUCCUACGGGAGGCAGCAGUGGGGAAUAUUGCACAAUGGGCGCAAGCCUGAUGCAGCCAUGCCGCGUGUGUGAAGAAGGCCUUCGGGUUGUAAAGCACUUUCAGUCGUGAGGAAGGUAGUGUAGUUAAUAGCUGCAUUACUUGACGUUAGCGACAGAAGAAGCACCGGCUAACUCCGUGCCAGCAGCCGCGGUAAUACGGAGGGUGCGAGCGUUAAUCGGAAUUACUGGGCGUAAAGCGCAUGCAGGUGGUUUGUUAAGUCAGAUGUGAAAGCCCGGGGCUCAACCUCGGAAUUGCAUUUGAAACUGGCAGACUAGAGUACUGUAGAGGGGGGUAGAAUUUCAGGUGUAGCGGUGAAAUGCGUAGAGAUCUGAAGGAAUACCGGUGGCGAAGGCGGCCCCCUGGACAGAUACUGACACUCAGAUGCGAAAGCGUGGGGAGCAAACAGGAUUAGAUACCCUGGUAGUCCACGCCGUAAACGAUGUCUACUUGGAGGUUGUGGCCUUGAGCCGUGGCUUUCGGAGCUAACGCGUUAAGUAGACCGCCUGGGGAGUACGGUCGCAAGAUUAAAACUCAAAUGAAUUGACGGGGGCCCGCACAAGCGGUGGAGCAUGUGGUUUAAUUCGAUGCAACGCGAAGAACCUUACCUACUCUUGACAUCCAGAGAACUUUCCAGAGAUGGAUUGGUGCCUUCGGGAACUCUGAGACAGGUGCUGCAUGGCUGUCGUCAGCUCGUGUUGUGAAAUGUUGGG